CAGCCCGCCUGCACCCGGGUGAAGUAAACAGCCAUGUUGCUCACACAAAGCCUGUUUGGUGGUGUCUUCACACGGACGCGCAUGAAAGGUACUUGAACUAAAGAAGACCUAUGUGAACAUUUUAGUCAGAAUCUGGGCUUUCAGAUAAAUCAAAACCAGCGAUGAAGUCCCUCAUACACAGCAAUUCCGAUGCCAGGUAUAUUUUAUGAUGAAAACAGUGUUUUAGAAGUGAUGAAACUUAAUUUAAAGAAUUUAAUUGGGAUGGUUACAGGACACCAGUAGACACUCACACCUGACUUCUCCUACAUGUAUCACUCACCAUUAAACUUAAGUUGCCAGUCAUAGUCUAGAAAGAUCAGUAAAGACCACAUUGCCAUUAUGGAAAAUUAUAUUAGAUAUGUACCAAUAUACACGUGUUAACACAAGCUAUCUUAAGUAAGUUACCACAUGAGAGAGAUUAUAACAACAUUCUCGUUUUAUAGAUAAGGAAAUGGGCAGAGGAUGCUUAAACAGUUUCUUGAAGGUCUCUCACACACUCACAUAUCUAGAAAUCAUGUAGCUGAAAUUGUGAACAAGCAGUCUACCUUGAGAACAUAUGCUGUUAGUCAUUAAACUAUAAUGCUUAAUAAGUAAUUUGCCAGAUGUUAAAGAAAAUUACACUAGGCAAAUUAAACAGCAAGGAAGACUUCAUAAAAGACUAGCAGUAAAGGUCAAGGCUAUUGCACUAGGAAAGAGAGAUUGAACUCAGCUGUGGUGAAACAAAAGGCAGGAAAGUUAUUAAGUACUGGGGUGAGCUAACAGAAGAGUACAGGAAGACUUUAUCGGAAGGUUGGUCAAUUUCUUUAGGCCAUCUGUGUUUGAUAAUUGGUACUUGUAAUCUGUGUUUGCUAAUUAAGUAGGCUUCUGCCCACCCACACAGAGACUGAGAGCUAGGAGUGAUUUUAUUUUGUUGUUCAUUUUACUGUAAUUAUAUUUCAAAGGGAUGGCUCCCAGACUCACGAGAAAGACAUUACUUUGUUGUAAAACUGGGGAGAGGCCAGGCAAAGAUUUAUACCUCAAAGGUGCAGAGAAAGAAUUCGUUAAUUGCAAGUUUUUGACAAUAAAGUCUCUAAAAAUAGGGAGGUCAAAGACCUAUAGCCAGGAAGAAACCUGUCCAAGAUUUAGUCAAGCUGAAGAGAAUGUUAAUGAAGUCCAUUCUGGUCACAGCUUGGGCUGAUAUUCACUUUUUGGGUAUGAAAAUAAUUGUUUUCAAUUAUAGAAUGAAUUUGGUUACUGAGGGAGGAUUAUUGGGCUUCUGCCCAUAAAAAAUGAAUUGUGUGGUUAGGUAACUUAAAUAAUUUAAAUUAAAUUUUAUCUUCUUAAUUAAAUAUAUUCUGACAACAAAAUUUAUUUAUUUAUUUUAUUAUUUUUUUUGAGAAGGAGUCUUGCUCCUGUUGCCCAGGCUGGAGUGCAACGGCAUGAUCUUGGCUCAUUGCAGUCUCUGCCUCCUGGGUUCAAGUUAUGCUCCUGACUCAGCCUCCUGAGUAGCUGGGAUUACAGGCACCUGCCACCACACCCGGCUAAUUUUUUGUAGUUUUAGUAGAGGCAGGGUUUCACCAUGUUGGCCAGGCUGGUCUCGAACUCCUGACCUCAAAUGAUCUAACUGCCUCGGCCCCUCAAAGUUCUAGGAUUAUAGGCGUGAGCCACCAUGUCUGGACAAUUUUUGUUAAUUUUUAAAGAUAAAAUAUAUGAAUAAGAAAAAUAUUUAAUUAAAUUCUAAGCAUUUGAGUUAUUAACACAGAGGACUUUCACUCAUAUUACCAAUUUAAAAGCAGAUAACAAUAUGUUUUCACAUUUUGAAACAUAUGACUACAAUUAGUCUGCAACUUCUAUGUUGCAGGUUUUAUCAUUUUUGCAUAUCUCAAAUUUUCUACAUUUAAGUUCUUUUACUUAUGAUAUAGUAAAACAAGAGAAAUAAUGCAUAAACCUUGCAGUAUGACCUAUAAUUUCUUAAAAUGAAACAAAGUUUAAGUUGAGAUGAAAAUUAUCAUUUGAAUGUUGAUAUUACAUCAUAUACAAAUUGAUUGCAACAUAGUUAUUUAAUGUAACAUUCUAUUUUAAAAGAUAAAUUUAUCAGAAUCAUACAUUGCUACAGUAGUCUCCCUUAUCCACAGGUUCAUUUUCUAUGGUUUCAGUUACCUACUGUCAACAAGGAUCCAACAAUAUUACAUGGAAAAUCACAGAAAUAAACAGUUUGGACGGGGGCAGAGAAAUUCUAGCCAGAAAAGUGUGGGUCACUGACAAACCGCCACUCUCAAGCCAAAAAACCUGAAACCACAGGCCAAAGUGAGAGCUUAUAUACCUGUUUUCCCACUUGAAUGCUGCUUUUUCCUCAACCACCCCUGGCCCCGCCCUGCGCCAUCCUGUGCCUAUUAAAACCCCAGACUCAGCUAGUACAUGGGACUAUGGCUGGACGUGGGAGAAAAGCAGCUUGACUUCAGAAGGACAGCUUAACAGCGUAACUUCGGAGAAGAAUCUGGCUGGAGAUGACCUGACUUCAGGGGAAGUUUGCAGAUGUGGAUCCUGACUCCUGCAAGAAGUAGCUCACCGUGACAAAACUACCUUUGCCUUUAUUGAUUUGCAAAUCAAAGAAGGGGGACAUGUUGGGAGCAGGCCCCCCGAAACUGGCCAUAAACAAAACCGCUGCAGCACUGUAACAUGUUCAUAAUGGCCCUAAUGCCCACGCUGGAAGGUUGUGGGUUUACUGGAAUGAGGGCAAGGAACACCUGGCCUGCCCAGGGAGGAAAACUGCUUAAAGGCAUUCUUAAGCCACAAACAAUAGUAUGAGCAAUCUGUGCCUUAAGGACAUGCUCCUGCUGCAGUUAACCAGUACAACCUAUUCCUUUAAUUCGGCCCAUCCCUUCAUUUCCCAUAAGGGAUAUUUUUAGUUAAUUUAAUAACUAUAGAAACAAUGCUAAUGACUAGUUUGCUGUUAACAAAUACGUGGGUAAGUCUCUGUUCAGGGCUCUCAGCUCUGAAGGCUGUUGAGACCCCUGAUUUCCCACUUCACACCUCUAUAUUUCUGUGCGUGUGUCUUUAAUUCCUCUAGCGCCGCUGGGUUAGGGUCUCCGCAACCGAGCUGGUCUCGGCAGUAUCUCAUAUAUCUAUCUACUUUAUUGUAUGCCUUGAGUACAUCACUACAACAUGGAUAUUGCCACAAAAAUAUCUUUGUCUGACUAUUUUCCCACUCGAGUGACAUAGCCAGGGGAAUAGCAACUGGUGUCUAAAGAAACCCCAAGAAAUUUUAUGCAUGAACCAGGAAGACAAGAGAGGGUCACUCUCCCUAAGAUACCCAUAGGAAAUCAGAUUAGGGGUUUAGGUACAUUAACACAAAAUUAAACCAAAGCAAAGGCUUCUUCAGUAAUCUAUCAUUUUUUCUUAAGUCUGUACUUGCCCAACUGUUUUAGUCCUAUCAUCCUAACCUUAAAGGUAGCUGAAAAGGGAAGAGAAAAAGCAGAUGAAAAUGGAAAAUGGACCUCCGCCAGGGAUUAUGCAAAGCUAUAUCUUGCCCUUUGAAGAACACAAGUAUUACCAUUCAGAAAACUUUCCUCUAUAAUUCAUGCAAUGUAGAAAAAAAUGCACAAAAUCUAAAACUCCACAUUUGAAUGCCAGUCUAAAUAAUUGACAUUACUCAAAAAAACUUGGUAUUCAAAUAUGAAGUUUUUUCCAUGUUAAUGUUACUUAAAAAGAACAAAAAGGAGAAGACUAGGAUUGAGGGGCUUGGGAGAGGAAUGGGAGGAGAAACAAGAGGACAAAGAAAAGGGAAAAUGGUAGGAGAAAUUUAUAGCUGAAAUGAGACAACUAUUAUUCUUCAUGUUUACUAAAUGAAAUUUCAUUUAUAUGUGUCAUUUAAAUGAAAAAUAAUACAACUCAUAUUAUGGGAACUUCAUUUCUCAUAAAUCAUAUAAAUAAUUAUAUAUGUGUUUUUGUGUAUAAUUAGUCCAUAUUCCACAGAAAUAAUUUGAAAAAAUGCCCUAAGGAAAUCACCUCUUAUUAUACCUCUGCUUAACAAAAAGAUUAAUAUGAAACUUUAGAUUUCUUUUCUAGUUUUUUCUAAGAUAAUUUAAUAUAAAACUUGUAUUUUAUAUAUUCACUAUAUACUAUGUUAUAUAUUUACUUACCUACUAUAUAUAGUUUGUAUCUUUUUCCAUUAUUAAAAAACAACUAAAUAUAUCAUUAAAAUUGACCAAAUAUCAUAAUGACUUCAUUAGAUUUUAUUAUUUUUCAGCUGGUUCUCUAAGGUAUUUUGGGGAGAUCAUGUUUUCUGCAUAUAAUGAUUAUUAAACAAAACUAUAAGAGGCCAUGAUUUUAGACUGAGCUCAAGCACUAGGCCCUAACAGACCAGACCAAACAAAAUGGAGUCAUUCCUGCUAAAUGCCAUAUAAGAAAUUGGAAACUCUAAGGAAGCAAAGAGAUCUCAAAACAAACCUAUUUUGUCUUCUGAAAACAGGAGAUCACAGAAUAAUAAGGAAGUCCUCUCUGCUUUAACCUUUAUAGAAAAGUGACCUGAAGAAACCAAUCAGUUAUUAUUAUUAUUAUUUUUUUUUACCGUUGUUCUCUUUGCUUGUUUUCACCUUACAAAACCCACUGUUUUGCUAUUUUCCAGUGGAAUUGAGAAGAAGUUAGUUCAUUUACAACGGUGAAAGAAUGACAUCAAUGCCUAAAGUUUUGAUCAACUUCUUAAUUUUGAGAGAUUAACCAAAAGGGAGGAAUUAUUAAAUUAAGUUUAGCCUAAAGCUGCUUCCUUAUAUAUUUUAAGUUCAGCCUAAAGGUUUCUCCAUACAUAGUGAACUGUAAUCUAACUGGAAAUGUGAAUGGACUCUUGUAACAAGUAGCCAAAUCUCCAACCAUGGGAAAGUCCCAGAGUCACUGUGAACCUGUUUUGCUUAGAAGGAGGAGGAUUGUCCUUUAGCAAAUCAUUCUUUCUUCAAUUAAAAACUUCGUUAAAUU
RNAcentral lists this long non-coding RNA (4989 nucleotides) under Homo sapiens (human). RNAcentral describes it as "HSALNT0162896". The record is from RNAcentral. Lineage: Eukaryota; Metazoa; Chordata; Mammalia; Primates; Hominidae.